Molecule: ribosomal RNA, 460 nt
Filed under: uncultured bacterium
Lineage: Bacteria
Description: partial 16S ribosomal RNA
Rfam family: Bacterial small subunit ribosomal RNA
Source: RNAcentral
CCUACGGGCGGCUGCAGUGAGGAAUAUUGGUCAAUGGCCGGAAGGCUGAACCAGCCAAGUCGCGUGAGGGAAUAAGGCCCUAUGGGUCGUAAACCUCUUUUGUCAGGGAGCAAAGGCGUCCACGUGUGGACGAGAGGAGAGUACCUGAAGAAAAAGCAUCGGCUAACUCCGUGCCAGCAGUCGCGGUAAUACGGAGGAUGCGAGCGUUAUCCGUAUUUAUUGGGUUUAAAGGGUGCGUAGGCGGAGUGUCAAGUCAGCGGUAAAAUUUCGGGGCUCAAUCCCGUCGUGCCGUUGACACUGACGCCCGUGAGUGAGUGAGAAGUAAGCGGAAUUCCUAGUGUAGCGGUGGAAUGCGUAGAUAUUAGGAGGAACACCAGUGGCGAAGGCGGGUUGCUAGACUGUAACUGACACUGAGGCACGAAAGCGUGGGGAGCAAACAGGAUUAGAUACCCGAGUAGUC